RNAcentral lists this ribosomal RNA (400 nucleotides) under uncultured bacterium. RNAcentral's name for it is "bacterial SSU rRNA". It matches the Rfam family "Bacterial small subunit ribosomal RNA", at positions 356 to 773 of the family's 1533-position model. The record is from RNAcentral.
GGGGAAUAUUGGACAAUGGGCGAAAGCCUGAUCCAGCAAUGCCGCGUGAGUGAUGAAGGCCUUAGGGUUGUAAAGCUCUUUUACCAGGGAUGAUAAUGACAGUACCUGGAGAAAAAGCUCCGGCUAACUCCGUGCCAGCAGCCGCGGUAAUACGGAGGGAGCUAGCGUUGUUCGGAAUUACUGGGCGUAAAGCGCGCGUAGGCGGCUACUCAAGUCAGAGGUGAAAGCCCGGGGCUCAACCCCGGAACUGCCUUUGAAACUAGGUAGCUAGAAUCUUGGAGAGGUCAGUGGAAUUCCGAGUGUAGAGGUGAAAUUCGUAGAUAUUCGGAAGAACACCAGUGGCGAAGGCGACUGACUGGACAAGUAUUGACGCUGAGGUGCGAAAGCGUGGGGAGCAAAC